GGGGCCAUAGCUCAGAUGGGAGAGCACCUGCUUUGCAAGCAGGGGGUCGGCGGUUCGAUCCCGCCUGGCUCCACCA
Molecule: transfer RNA, 76 nt
Filed under: Gammaproteobacteria bacterium
Lineage: Bacteria; Pseudomonadati; Pseudomonadota; Gammaproteobacteria
Also listed under: 1 other name
Description: tRNA-Ala
Rfam family: tRNA
About the family: Transfer RNA (tRNA) molecules are approximately 80 nucleotides in length. Their secondary structure includes four short double-helical elements and three loops (D, anti-codon, and T loops).
Source: RNAcentral